GGCAGGAGGUUCGACUCGAGCGAAGCGAGAGAACGUUGCGUCAGCAACGGCCCGCAGGGCGAGUCACGCAGUGGCGAGUCAUCCUCUAUCACCGGCAG
Molecule: small RNA, 98 nt
Filed under: Salmonella enterica
Lineage: Bacteria; Pseudomonadati; Pseudomonadota; Gammaproteobacteria; Enterobacterales; Enterobacteriaceae
Description: partial RtT sRNA
Rfam family: RtT RNA
About the family: This family represents a bacterial cis-regulatory element known as RtT RNA.
Source: RNAcentral